CUUGGACAUGGGGGCACCCUGACCGCGACGCCGCGUGGGGGAUGAAGGCCUUCGGGUUGUAAACCCCUGUCAGGUGGGACGAAGGCGCGGGGGAGGCAAUGCUCCCGGGCGUGACGGUACCAUCAGAGGAAGUCCCGGCUAACUCCGUGCCAGCAGCCGCGGUAAUACGGAGGGGACGAGUGUUGUUCGGAAUUACUGGGCGUAAAGGGCGCGUAGGCGGCGCGGCCAGUCGCGUGUGAAAGCCCUCCGCUCAGCGGAGGAAGGGCGCGCGAGACUACCGUGCUGGAGGGCGGGAGAGGGCAGUGGAACUCUCGGUGUAGGGGUGGAAUCGGUAGAGAUCGAGAGGAACACCGGUGGCGAAGGCGGCUGCCUGGCCCGUACCUGACGCUGAGGCGCGAAAG
This 401-nucleotide ribosomal RNA is filed under the name uncultured bacterium. Its description in RNAcentral is "bacterial SSU rRNA". It matches the Rfam family "Bacterial small subunit ribosomal RNA", at positions 364 to 759 of the family's 1533-position model. The record is from RNAcentral.